UUUGUUUGGGGGGAGGAGAGGGGUUCUAAAGGGGAGGUGGGCGGCGGGUGGCGUGCCGGGGACGAGGACAUGCGGACCAGUGCGAGGCCGAGUUAGGCGGGGUAGCGGGCUGGGGACAAUGAGGGGCGGGCCGGUUCGAGGCCGGGCUAGACGGCGUGGCGUGCCGGGGACGAGGGGGGCGGGCCGGUACGAGACUGGAUUUAGGCGGGGUUGUCUGAGUGAGAAGUAGGGGUUGGUACCGCCGCACGCAGCUAGGUACCGACGCUGCCCGCCCCACAGGUACCGGUGCGGUCGGCCACACUACCUCAACGUGGUGUUCGCCGCUCUUGUGCCGCGACGGCCACCUGACAUCACUGGCGGCCUCUUGUGACUCCCACUCAUGAGCCCCUAGCUCGUGCUCCAGUAGGGCCCAGCAUCUCUCGGAAUUCCAAUAAGUUAAGUCGACCGUCGGACCGUACAGUGAAUUUCGUCUUUGUCUACCGUAAGGUAGAGGGUCGGUUUGAAUAACGUCGAACAUUAGACUCCUCAAUGUAUACUCUAAAGGAGACGAUGUGUUACGAUCCUAGACUUUGGUCGAUUACACUCCCGUGUAUGUAGCUACGCUCGAAUCUAAAAUACCGAGCCAUUCUCUCCUCCGACUACGUUUACUCUAUUUUGAAAACGCCGCAAUGUACCUUUCCUGUCCUCCGACGACGUUCCUAAUAACCGAGCCACCGCUUUACUUUCCUCUGGCCCGCUGACCGGUCCGCCGACGCGGGCGCUGCCACUGGAGGCGCAGGUCGUUGGCGGCCGCCCAGCCGCCCUCCAAAACCCGCGAGCGGCUAAGCCUGCUUCUUCUGCACCUGCUGCUACCCCUAGGAGGCCACCUGAGGGACGGAAGUGGCUGAGGAAGUCUAGAGUAAACGCUUAAAAAAGCAAGUCCAAUAUGGCUUCUACUCCACCGAUGCUGCUAACUAGCGCAAGACGGUAACCUCCUAGGCCGCGCUUAGCCAGAAGCGCGCCUGCUCUGCUGUCUCUACUAAGCUGCACAUCAUGUAUCCUCCUGCCGCCGUAGACGCUAAGCUGGAACCUUCCCAGGGUAUGGAUUCCAAUAAAAGGCUCGGUGCCGGCACUAGGCAAGUACCAGCGAUGAGUGAGGCUACCUCCGGUCCCUCGUAAACCAAUGACCUAGAUAGGCGACCCUCUACCAUCGAGCCCUAUAGAAGUUGGCCAAACCUACCGCCAGUACAUUAUCCUAUCCGUUAAUCAAAUGGAUAAAUAGAAAUCGGUCGGCCAACACCGCGGAAUAGAACCGAUCAGACACACAGGUCGGAGAAAUCGAGAUACACUCGACAGAAAAAUAAUGAAAAGUCAGCCUCUGAAACCUUGGAACAACCUUGGAAAAUAAAGCAAUUAUUCUACCGGCAUACGUAGUAAGACUACGUCUCCGGCCCCUCUAGGGGGAAAAACUUUUUUUUUU
This 1459-nucleotide ribosomal RNA is filed under the name Triticum aestivum (bread wheat). RNAcentral's name for it is "partial small subunit ribosomal RNA". Lineage: Eukaryota; Viridiplantae; Streptophyta; Magnoliopsida; Poales; Poaceae. The record is from RNAcentral.